UUAAGUUCAGCGGGUAUUCCUACCUGAUCCGAGGUCAACCAUUAAAAAAUUGGGGGUUUAGCGGCUAAGGUUAUAGCAUCUUCAAAAGCGUGAUAAAAAUUACUGCGCUCAGAGAUGACUAUGACUCCGCCGUUGGAUUUGAGGAACUACAGGGUAGCUACAGGGUAACCUGGCCCCGUUAUAGGGUAGGUACCGGGUAA
Molecule: unclassified non-coding RNA, 200 nt
Filed under: Ascomycota sp.
Lineage: Eukaryota; Fungi; Ascomycota
Description: partial internal transcribed spacer 2
Source: RNAcentral